RNAcentral lists this ribosomal RNA (253 nucleotides) under uncultured bacterium. Its description in RNAcentral is "partial 16S ribosomal RNA". It matches the Rfam family "Bacterial small subunit ribosomal RNA", at positions 524 to 776 of the family's 1533-position model. The record is from RNAcentral.
UACAGAGGUCUCAAGCGUUGUUCGGAUUCAUUGGGCGUAAAGGGCGCGUAGGCGGCGCGGUAAGUCACUUGUGAAAUCUCUGAGCUUAACUCAGAACGGCCAAGUGAUACUGCAGUGCUAGAGUGCAGAAGGGGCAAUCGGAAUUCUUGGUGUAGCGGUGAAAUGCGUAGAUAUCAAGAGGAACACCUGAGGUGAAGACGGGUUGCUAGGCUGACACUGACGCUGAGGCGCGAAAGCCAGGGGAGCAAACGGG